This is a long non-coding RNA of Chinchilla lanigera (long-tailed chinchilla), 4563 nucleotides long. RefSeq lists it as uncharacterized. The record is from RefSeq and is a predicted model, not a curated record. The transcript is spliced from 3 exons. NCBI's taxonomy places the organism in Eukaryota, Metazoa, Chordata, Mammalia, Rodentia, Chinchillidae.
UCAAACUCAUGGUGAUCCUCCUGCCCCAGCCUCCUGAGUGCUGGGAUUACAGGCGUGUACCACCACACCCAGCGAUGCAUCAUUUCUUAAGACUGAAUGUGAAUCUGCAGUAUGUCAAAAUUUCUGUUACCAAAAAAAUCAUCAGAUAUUUGCCAGGUGUGUGGGCACCUGGGAAGGGGUGACAGCAGAUAGGCGGAGCAAUCUCCGAGGACUUAGACGGGACAUGGUACCGUGACAAACCUCGAGGCUGCUAACGGAGGAGGCCAGCUAGAGUGUAGUAGAUGGACCCGGCUCCUCCCUGCUCUGUCAUUUAAGAGGACCAGGGCCCAUAGUCCCACCUUCCCACUUUCUGGAAGCCUUAAAGAGAAAAGGGAUCCAUGGUGUCAGAAGCACCCUGUUCUUGGUGACCCCAAAACUGCAGCUUCGUCGGGUGCUGGAUGACCUUUGCACCUUUGCCAGCUGCCUGUCACUUCGCGCGUCCACAAGAUUCGGUCGAGGUUGGCGCAGAAUUGUGAAGUUGCUUGAUCGGUGGAGCCCCUGGCUGUGGCCUUGCAGGCACAGGCCCUGACAUCUGGUUCCCAGCGCCAGCAGCAGACAAAGGACCACAAGUCCCACUGAGGAGCGGGGAGCAGGUGGCAGGCGGAGCCCCCUACAGGGAACAGACCAGUGGGGGCCACUCUGAGCCCGGAGCCACCUGAGCAGCGGCUGACGCUGGGAUACAGAAGUCAGCUGGGCACACGGAGGAGAGUCCUCAGACCAUGGGCCCAGCUCCAUCCCACUUCCGACGGGCAGAGUCUGCACUCUGGCUUCCUGUGGGCCACAGACAGCACUGCAGUCCUACUGUGCUGAGAUCAGGUCGAAGCCAACACGCGCCUUUGACAUUUGCCACGCCCUGAGUUUGCGACUGAGGGAAAAUACAACAAAUACUAUCUGAUCUGAGUCACUGAAGAAGCUAGAAGACAGCAGCACCAAGCAAGACAUACAGAAAUAAAUGACAGAAGGAGUUGAAAUGCCCACUGGGUCAGCUUGGUUCCCCCGGAAGCAGCAGUGGAGAAGGACUGGCAAGAACUGACAGCUGGAGAGAUUCUUUUGGGAAGUGGCUCCAUAUAACGGGGGUGGAAAAAGGGGUCAGGAGCAGAAAGCAUGUGGCAGAGGGAGAGGGAGAGAGAGAGAAAGAGAGACAGAAAAAAGAAAGAGAGAGAGUGCACAAACCCUUGGAGAGCUGGGGCUCCGCUCCUCUGGGGAACCAGGUAGAAGGCUGUGGUCCUGUCUCCUGCGUCAGGAUCCUGUCUCCCAUUGGUCAAGUGGAUGCAGAACAAAUUCAGUCAACUAGGAUGUGACUCAGAGCAGACAUAACAGAUUCCUGACUCACCAGUGAGAAAGCAUCCUGUAGCCCAGGAUUUUUCAUUGUUUAUUCAUUGCUGCAUUUCCAGCACCAAAAACAGUGCCUGGUCCAUAGAAGGUGCCCAGUCAGCAGACCUAAACUAAAAUACUAGUUUAGGUCAAAUAUAAAAGGUAGGUGCACCCAGGUGGGGUGCCGCCAGCCUGUGGUUCCAGUGCUUGGGAGGCUGAGGCAGGAGGAUCACUUGAAUCCAGCAGCUCAAGAGCAGCUUGGGCAACAUAGUGAGACCCUGUCUUUAAAAAGAAAAAGUAAGGAGGUGCCUAAGUUAUUCUUUAGCAGUACUUUGCAAGUGCGUGCCUGCUUGCAGCGGAUGUGGGGUGGGGCCAGGCAGAUAGACUAGAGAACAAAACAGAUGCAUUUCUGCCCGGAUCUUCUGGUCCAGGAGAGAAGUCCGACGGGGAUACACACAGGCUCAGUGAGCUCAUGGGGAGCACCCUAAGGAUAAGGACAUGGGCAUCAGAAGUGAUAAUUGGCCAGGGAGCUGUCUGAGGAGAUCACACUCACAUGGAGACCCAGGGAGGGACAGGGCCAGCAUGGGGGCGGGUGGAGGGAGAGGCCCAGGGGAGAGAGGGAGGGGCAAGGCAGCCCUGGGCCACCACCCGGGUUUUAGGGAAUGUGGGUUUCAGGUAUGGAGUAACAGGGUCAAAUCCACAUUUCUAAGCCCUCCUCUCACCGCUUUGUGCAGGACCAGCUGGAGCUGAUGCUCACUGACAGCAGAGGUGGCAGAGGCUGGGAGGAAGACCAGCCCGGUGCCGGCGCCCCACUGCUACUGUGUCACCUGAAAGCUGCCACAUGCUCCCCCCACCUCACGGCUACUAGAGUGGAGGGCAGGCGACUGAAGGUUCAUCAGAUCCGUAGUUCUCAGAACACCUUACUCUUGCUCUGUGGGGACAGAGAGGGGAAAUGUUUUCCCUCACUUAAUAGAGGUGUAAGGAACCCAGUGAUGAUUACAAGGACAGCCUCAGGACGUGGUGGCAGGGUGCCCACCUCCACCCACCCUGCACACGGAGGGGCAUGCCCAGAAGAGCUCGCCCCUUCCCAAAAGCGAGCAGAGGUCACCUGACAGCCAUGGCGCAAUACUGGGAAAAGAGUGUCUGGGUUUAAUCUGACGUUUAUGGGGCACGUGCCUGCACCAAGUCCCAUAUGACAUCACCCUGGAUCCUCCCACGGCCACGUGGGGAGCUGUUCCAGUCCACAGCUGACAGAUAAGUAGAGGGGAUUAGCUUACACAGAGUCCCAUGCUGUGGACAAACCCCACGGCCCACGCAGCUCCUCCCUUCUGCCUCGCCGCCUCCGGGAAGGGAGCAGAACGGAGCUGGAGGGAGAGUCUGGGGUUAGGACAUGAAGCCUUGUGUUUACAAUGAGGACCAGUUGCCCAUGGGCGCCUUAGGAAUUAGAAAAAUAUUUGUAACACUCCUUAGAAUUAGAACAAGAUAUUAAUACCAGUUGCUUUUUUCUUUUUCUUUUUUCUUUUUUUGCAGUGCUGGGGAUGGAAUAGGGGUUACAAGCACGCUCAGUGAGCGCUCUGCCACUGGAGGGGACCCCAGCCCGGCCCUAUUGCCUUUUGGCAGCUGGUCUUGGUCUUGUGCCCCAGUCCAUCCACCUCCUUCAAAUGCACCGGACGCGUUCCCAGCCACGGAGGACAGCCAGGCCCUUCACCCUGCAGCCUGCUCACCCCCACCGCAGAUUGCCGAAGGAGCGAAGUGUCCCUGUUUCACAUUCUGGCAAAAUCAGCGGCAGAGAGCACGAAGAGCAGCAGGUGCCAGCUCCAGCUCCGGGCCCUCCAUGCCUGCAGGCUCCAGGCAAGACCCCGCCACGCCUGCAGCUCCUCCGCGGUCCGGUUCUGCACUCCCAACUUGUAACCAUCACCCCCUGGCUUCUGAGCUCACUCCUGCUGGUCUUCUGUCUCCACAGCCUGGUGCUUUCAGGGCCUGCAAUCCACUAAGCCUGCCGCUUUCCACUCCUCCCAUCCUCCUCAAACCCUCUCUGUUCUCUUUUGUUCUUUUUCAAUUUUCUAAAUUGCCCAGGCUUGGCUCAAACUUGUGAUCUUCCUGCCUCAGCUUCCCAGAGUGCAGCUUCCCAGAGUGCAGGUAUUACAGGCUACACCCAGCCUGUCUAGGCUCCAUGGUCAAUUGUGAUAAUCACUUUCUUGCACACUCCCUCCUUCCACACUCUCUUCCUCAGAGCUGCAAAACAGGCUGCACAGAAUCUACUUUCUGCCCCUCCUGCCCUGCAUAUGGGCACUGACUGUGGCCAGGCUGAGGAGUCUCGCUUUGAGGUGGGCUUCAACACUGCUCACAGCUCGUCCUUCUCCUGCCCACCCACUCUCGCAGCUCCAGGAUGACCACAGCAGUUACCCUUUCCCCCCAAGGUUCCAAGUCCGUCACAUCUCCACUCUCUGCCAUGGCCCUUUCUCUCAUCUCCAUGAGGAAAUGGAAGCAGCAAGAGAACCUCCGCGUUCUCCACCACUAUUGCUACUCUGCAGCCUGCACCUGGACCAAACCUCUGUGGACCAAUUGUCCCUGCUCCCACCAAAAGCCGGCUCGCCCCGUGUGAAUCAGGCCCCAUUCCUUGUAAACUGCUCCCUCGGGCUGACUGGUGGCCCCAAAGCGUCCUGCUGCCCGGAACCAUUUAUGUGACCUUGUUUGGAAGAAGACUUUGCAAAUGUAAUUAAGUUAACGAUCUUAGUUAAUGAGAUUAUCCUAGAUUAUCUGGGAUAAUGACAGUAGCCUAACAAGAGAAAGGCAGAAGGAAACUGAAGACAGGCAGAAGAGGAGAGACCCAGAGAAACAGGUGAUAUGAACACAGAGCAGAGAGAUGUGGCCACGGUCAAGGGAAGCCAGUGGUCACCAGAAGGCAAAGACGCAAGGAAUGGAUUUUUUUCCUCCACAGCUCCACAGCAGCCAAUGAUGGUGUAAAAUCUGAGUAAUGCAGAGGUGUGGCUCAGAGAGGAAUGUGUGUGAAGCCCUGGGCUCCACCCCCAGCACCCCCCCCCCCAGUGUGAGUAAUCUCCUGUCCCUCCUCUAUGCAAAACUCCAGGGGUUCAACAUUUCCCCCAGAUACAAGCAAGAUCCCAGAGGGAGAGCAUCUCUGCCAACACUUCAGUUGCAGGUUUCUGGCUUCCAGAAUUGUGAGAGAAUAAAUGCUGUGGUUUUAAGCCA